UUCAAAGAGGAGGGAAGUGGUAUUGAGAGCACAGCUUCAUAUCAGAUGGAUUGUGGUAAUUCCUCUUUUCUCACAGUCACUGUGGUUACAGCUGCUAAUGAAACACUGUGGGAGGAUUAACAGGAGCAGCAGAUCCAACAUCAACCACAAACACACAAAGGAAGCUGAAAAUAAAACAAAGAAACUAAAACACAGACACUGACUUUAUCCUCUUUCUAAACCAUUUUGAUGCAAAAAAAAAAUAAAAAUACAGGAGCUUCUCUGUAUUCAGGUCAAUGAUUUUAUGAAGUCACUUUAAAUUUGUGAAAAUUAAGAGGCAGGUUUAUGGACCACUAACUGAGAAACAGAGCACAGCCAGAGGAGGAGCUACACAACUGAAUAUGAAAGGCUUCAUGUUGGAGCUGAAGAGCUGCUGUGUUCUCUCUGUUGUUCAUUCAGUACAAGUGAAAAUAAUGUUUCUGCUUCUCAUCUGGAUGAUGAUCGUCUCCUUUCAAACUGGAUCCUCUGAGGAUGUUCUGACUCCAUUCAAAGAUGUAUUGAUGUCUUUGGAAGGAGAAUCUGUGACUCUCUCCUGCAACUAUUCAGGUUCUGCCAACAACCUCUACUGGUACCAACAGAAGUCCAGUUCAUCUCCACAGUUCCUCAUCCAAGAAUAUUCAGAGACAACAGGAAGGUUGUCUUUGAGACACGACAAACAGUCAAAAGAGUUCCAUCUGAACAUCUCCUCUGCUGCAGUGUCAGACUCUGCUGUGUACUGCUGUGCUCUGCAGCCCACAGUGACAGGAAACAGUAAAACUCUGUACAAAAACCUUUGGAGCAAAGACAACAGAAAACUCCACAACAUCCACUAGAGGGAGACGCACUCUGUUACACUCCUAUGCAAUGUUGUCAUGUUUUUGUCAAGUCUAGCACCAGUUGACUCCUAGGCAGGAUUAAACUGGUCCUAACGUAAAACUUUCCAAAUGAAA
Non-coding RNA from Amphiprion ocellaris (clown anemonefish), 968 nucleotides. The record is from the annotation of a RefSeq genome assembly. Lineage: Eukaryota; Metazoa; Chordata; Actinopteri; Pomacentridae.